UGCAUUUCCUUCUCGGACGCAGUCAGUACCAAACGGGACGCCAUGGUCGUGCUAGCAGACGCUGAUAUCAUACUCUGUGCAGUGACGAUUUGCUUCCUUGGCGCCGCUGUCGCGGAGUACCAACAGCCAUGCAAUAGUCCCAUCUACUGUUAUGGAGAUCUACUCAAGACCGUGCAGCUAUCCGACAUAUAUAAUGAUUCCAAGACGUUCGUGGACAAGAAGCAAAGACAACCCCCGACGGAAACUCUGCAGCUGUUUGAAGACUUCAUGGCACAGACAGGCGGUAAUCCCGACAGAGAUCAGGUGAUAGAGUUCGUGGAAAGGACGUUCGUUGAAGGCAACGAGCUUCAGCCUUGGGUCCCUGGUGACUGGGUAGAGAACCCAGCAAUACUGCAGAAAAUCGCAGACCCUGAUCUUCGGGAAUGGGCGAGAGAUCUAAAUGUUUUAUGGAAGAACCUCAGUCGCAAAAUGUCUGACGACGUCCAUGAGCACCCUGACGAGUACUCCAUCAUCUACGUACCCAACGGCUUUGUAAUUCCAGGUGGAAGGUUUAGGGAGUUCUACUACUGGGACACAUAUUGGAUCAUACAAGGCCUGCUGCUCUCUGAAAUGUAUCACACAACACGAGGCAUCUUGGAGAACUUCUUGUCCAUGGUUGAAAAAUACGGGUUUGUGCCUAACGGAGGACGGGUGUAUUAUGUUCAGCGUUCUCAACCACCACUCCUCAUACCCAUGGUGCAUAGUUACGUGACUCAAACCAGUAACAUCACCUUCCUUAGGAACAAUAUUAACCUGCUGGAGGCAGAGUUCCAGUUCUGGAUGACUAACCGAACUGUGACUGUUAACAAACAAGGCAAAGAAUACAGACUCGCUCGGUACUAUGCUGCGACACAAGGACCACGUCCAGAGUCAUAUAGUGAAGACUACCAUAAUGCAGAAUUUUUUCCAACUGAGAAGGAAAAGGAAGACUUCUACAUCAAUAUAAAGUCGGCAGCUGAGUCUGGCUGGGAUUUCUCUAGUCGAUGGUUCAUUGCCAAUGGUACAAAUGCUGGAGAUCUACUUAACAUACAGACAGAAAACAUCAUCCCAGUGGAUCUGAAUUCUUUUCUGUUCUGGGAUGCAGUGCUCCUUGCAAAAUUUUACGAAAAGCUGGGUAAUCUCGAAAAAUCUCAGCAUUAUCACAAUGUGGCCGAGCAGUGGAAGGCUGCUGUGACUGCUGUGCAUUGGAAUGAAAAGGUUGGAACCUGGCUUGACUAUGACAUUCUCAACAACAAAUCCAGAGAAUACUUCUACCCGUCCAACUUGGCACCACUGUGGACACAGUGUUACGAUGAAGCAUUUUCAGAAUACUAUGCUCACAAAACAGUACAAUACAUUAGUGAUGAAACAAUUCGCAGUUAUUUAGGAGGAAUACCAACAUCACUGGAGCUGACAGAUGAGCAAUGGGACUUACCUAAUGCAUGGCCACCCCUACAGAUCAUUGUUAUCCAGGGUCUUUUAUAUACAAAAGAUCCAGGUGCCAAUAAUUUGGCUUAUGAACUGGCACGAAACUGGAUAUAUGCAAAUCACAAGGGUUAUCUUGAUGCAAAGGAGAUGUUUGAAAAGUAUGAUGCUGAGUAUCCUGGAAAAUAUGGAGGUGGAGGGGAGUAUACAGUACAAUCAGGAUUUGGUUGGACAAAUGGUGUUAUUAUGGAAUUACUGAAUACCUAUGGAUUAAACCUGACUUCAGCCAAGAAUCGUCGUACACACUACCUCAAGAGGGGAUGGCUGACACCAUACUACAGAUGAAGACGAUUACUGCCAGCUGUAGUAACAUUGUAAUGUAUUCAUAUGCACUAAAAUAAAUAUCACCAUAAAUAUCAAACGCCGGUCACGGUAGCCGAGCGGU
This is an RNA transcript of Cryptotermes secundus, 1888 nucleotides long. It is a transcript of the gene named trehalase, with no coding region annotated. The transcript is spliced from 10 exons. NCBI's taxonomy places the organism in Eukaryota, Metazoa, Arthropoda, Insecta, Blattodea, Kalotermitidae. The record is from RefSeq and is a predicted model, not a curated record.